UUACAACUGAUUUCCUAACCGACUAGGAUCUAUCUCUAAUUUUAAAUGAUAACAAAUAUUUACAAACACAACUCGUAUCGGAGUUGGUUAUCAUAUCCCUACGGGCCAACUUCUUCAGCUGAUCUUUUCUCUAGCCCACCUUAGGCCCAUACUGGCCAAGCCGCUCUAGCUCCCAAUCGGCCAACCUUUACCGACCCCUUUUGCCAAUCGGCUGAAACACUGUAGCUUCAAUCGGCCGAUUC
This 242-nucleotide long non-coding RNA is filed under the name Setaria italica (foxtail millet). RNAcentral's name for it is "long non-coding RNA (SITA_LNC002848)". The record is from RNAcentral. Lineage: Eukaryota; Viridiplantae; Streptophyta; Magnoliopsida; Poales; Poaceae.